GACAGAGGAUGCAAGCGUUAUCCGGAAUGAUUGGGCGUAAAGCGUCUGUAGGUGGCUUCUUAAGUCCGCUGUCAAAUCCCAGGGCUCAACCCUGGCCAGGCGGUGGAGACUACUAAGCUUGAGUACGGUAGGGGCAGAGGGAAUUUCCGGUGGAGCGGUGAAAUGCGUAGAGAUCGGAAAGAACACCAAGGGCGAAGGCACUCUGCUGGGCCGACACUGACACUGAGAGACGAGAGCUAGGGGAGCAAAUGGG
Molecule: ribosomal RNA, 253 nt
Filed under: uncultured bacterium
Lineage: Bacteria
Description: partial 16S ribosomal RNA
Rfam family: Bacterial small subunit ribosomal RNA
Source: RNAcentral